GAGCAGCCGAGUAAAAUUCUGUCUCCUCAUUGAUCACUGGAGUAGUCUUGGCUGAUAUGGCUGGCUAGGCGAGUUUUUCAUCUCUCCUCUCCUCACAACAUCUUUCUGCAAACCUCACAAAGCUGCACACUGAGACGAGGAGUACCAUGCUCUGUGUCAGGCACAGUAGUGUCUCCUUGUAGGUCCUCCAAACAAGACUAAAGUCCGUGUGUAGAACACAGAGCAGCCAAGCCUCCAAGUCUUGAGACAUGUCCAAAUGAAGGUCUGUAUACUGCGAUUUGCCUUUCAUU
RNAcentral lists this small nuclear RNA (290 nucleotides) under Gavia stellata (red-throated loon). RNAcentral describes it as "7SK RNA". It matches the Rfam family "7SK RNA". From Rfam's summary of the family: 7SK was discovered as an abundant small nuclear RNA in the mid-70s but a possible function has only recently been suggested. The record is from Rfam by way of RNAcentral. Lineage: Eukaryota; Metazoa; Chordata; Aves; Gaviiformes; Gaviidae.